This 57-nucleotide transfer RNA is filed under the name Bolitoglossa hartwegi. RNAcentral's name for it is "partial tRNA-Gln". Lineage: Eukaryota; Metazoa; Chordata; Amphibia; Caudata; Plethodontidae. The record is from RNAcentral.
UGCACUUAGAGUUUUGAUCUCUACAGGGUGGGUUCGAGUCCCAUUUUUUUAGGAGAU